AUCCAGCUGACGAGUCCCAAAUAGGACGAAACGCGCGUCCUGGAA
Non-coding RNA from Schistosoma mansoni, 45 nucleotides. Lineage: Eukaryota; Metazoa; Platyhelminthes; Trematoda; Strigeidida; Schistosomatidae. The record is from Rfam.